RNAcentral lists this long non-coding RNA (32374 nucleotides) under Zea mays. Its description in RNAcentral is "long non-coding RNA (ZMAY_LNC000456)". Lineage: Eukaryota; Viridiplantae; Streptophyta; Magnoliopsida; Poales; Poaceae. The record is from RNAcentral.
UCUUUUUUAGUACAAGAACAGGGUUGGCUAACCACUCCGAAUGUAACACCUCUCUAAUAAACCCAGCCACGACCAAGCGGGCCAGCUCAGCGUGAAUGGCCUCUCUCUUGUCAGGCGUGAAGCGAUGUAGUUUUUGCCGAAUCGGCCUCGCCUGGGGAUAGACCUUCAGCUUGUGCUCGGCCAGUUCUCUCGGGACUCCCGGCAUAUCCGCAGGUUGCCAUGCGAAUACGUCUCGUUUAUCUUGCAGAAACUGGACGAGCGCGCCUUCCUAUUUGUCAUCCAGGCUGGAGCUGAUGAUGGCAGUCUUGCGUUCAUCAGCGAACCCAAGGUUGAUCCUUUUGGUUUCUUCAGUCGGCCGCGUAGAGGUCGCGGCUUGAGCUUCAUUUGCAGGUGCUGCAAGGUCUUCCUCAGGCUUAGAGUUUGCCUGCGUCGAAGAAGUCGCCGACGGUUUGGUGGUGAGGGCCGCCUGGAUGGCCACUCAGAAACAUUCUGCGGCGCCUUGGAAGUCGGCGCGCACAGUUAUGAUUCCUUGCGGCCCUGGCAUCUUCAAUAUCAUGUAUGUGUAAUGUGGAAUGGCCAUGAAUUUUGCCAAUCCCGGCCUCCCGAUGAUGGCAUUGUACCCGCAGUCGAAGUUCGCCACUUCGAAUCUUAGGAACUCGGUUUUGUAGUUCUCCGGAGUUCCGAAGGUGACUGACAUGUAGAUGUGGCCCAGCUGGUAUUCUCCUUCAGUCGGCACGAUGCCGAAGAAAGGAGUGUCUGACUCGUGGAGCUCUUUGAGGUGAACUCCCAAGCCUUGGAGUGUCCGGGGGAAGGUGAUGUUGAUGCUGCUCCCCCCGUCCACUAAUACCUUCUUCACCCUGCUCUCUCGGAUCACCAGAUCGACGAGGAGCGGGUAUUUGCCUGGGUGGUCGAAGUUGAGCCAUUGAUCUGCCCGAGUGAAGGUGAUUGGGUUCUCCGACCAUCGGUACGGAGCGAGAGGACCGGUGGUCGCCACCAAUAUCUGGCGAUCGUUGAGCUUUUGUUGUCUUCUGUUCUCCUGCGACCCGUGUCCGCCGAAGAUGACGUUGACCUCCUCCCUCCUCCUCCUGCUGGGGUUGUCGUGGUUCUCCUGGUCCUCCCCGCGGCGGAGGAGGAGGUAGAGGUUGGAAGGGCCGGUCGUGUCCGACGGAGUGCUUGAAGUCUCUGCAGUUCCGAAGGGUGUGGCGCAUGUCCUUGUGGUACGGGCACUGGGCGUCAAGGAUGUCGUCCAGCGUGCGUUCGCCUCCACGAGGCCCUCCCCGGGCGCGAGAGGCAGGUGGUCCGACGGCGUGCACUUCUUCACGAGGCCUCUUCUCCCAGCGUUUGUCGGGUUGCUGGUUCGUGUCGCGUCGUGGUGCUGCCGGUGCGGGCUUCGCUCCCCCGAUGAGGUCCUGAGCUCGCUCGUCGGCAGUGAUGUAGAGGUCGGCUUCCCGGAACAGUUGCUCAGAGGUAGUCUGAGCCUUCUGCAAUAUGGCCCGGACGAAAGCCGAGUCGUUGGAUCCUCUAUAGAAGUCCUCGAUCACGGCCGCCUCCGUGACCUCGGGGAUACGAUUUCUCAUGGUCUGGAACCUUUUGAGGUAUGACCGAAGAGUUUCGUCCCCCCGGCGCUUGAUGGAUUUGAGGUCCCAUGGUUGCGCUAGUUUAUCGGAGAGGGACUGAAAGUUGGCGGUGAAGCGUCGACUGAAGUCGCUCCAGUCGUCGAUGCAGUGUCGGGGUAGAUGUCGCAGCCAUUGUAGCGCGUCUUGCCCGAGGACAAUGGGUAAGUAUGCGGUCAUCAUGUCCUCGGACGCCCCGGCAGCUCGAGCAGCGGUGGUGUAGACGGCCAGCCAGUCUCCUGGAUCCUGCUUAGGUUCAUAUUUGUCGACAUUGGAUACCUUGAAGUUAGGGGGCCAUUGAAUGGCUCUAAGGCGUGGAGUAAGUGCAGACACUCCACACGUGUCUUCUUGUCGUCGGGGAUGAUGUCUGUCCGGGGAGGGGAGUAGUUGUUGUGGUUCCUCGACCGUCCCCGAGUGGUACCGCCAGUCGAGGUCGUUGCCGACUCAGUUCUGGUGGCCUGACUCCGAGCUUGGAUGUCGUGAUCCCUGUCGUACUCUUCCCGGCGACGGAUCUCGUUCUCAUGUCGUCGUUCACGCGAAGCGUUGAUGGAGCUUCGCGCGUCCCGGCGGCUGUUGAUGGUGUGUCGUAGGUCGUUCGGCGGGUGAGCGAGAGGUAGAAGAUGGUUGGCUGCUUGGGUGAAUAGUCGUCGAUAGCCCUCGGCAUCGGGAGUCCGAGGGAGUCCAUCAGCUAUUCGAGUUAGUACCCCGCCAAUCUCACUCGGCGUGUUCAUGGCUCAGGCGAAGUCGGGGUUCAGGUUGCGCCCGAAGAGUGGAUUCUCCCGACGUUGCCUUGCCUCCUGCUCGGCUUGUUCCUGAGCUCGUCGGUGAUCACGCCGUCGGGAGUUCCUUCGUUCUCUGAAGACGCGUUCCUCCAGAGUUUCUCCUAUCUCUGAGACCUCGUCUCGCGAGAUAGGCUGCUCCGGGUCCCGCUCUCCGGCCUCGUGGUGUCGCCGGAUAUUUCAGCGUCGGUUCCUCCGUCGGCGGGAUUCCCGCUGAGGAGGUUCUUCUCCGGGCGCGGUCGGCUCGUCGUCGGAGACGGGGAGCGACUCCACUCUCCCGAUGAAGAGGACGUCAGGGUAGAAUGGUGCGGCGUUCGUGGUGAUCUUCUUUCCGUUCUCCUUUGAGGGCGGAGGAACAGAAAGAACAACUUGCUUCCUCCCAGUGUUAUUUGUUUCUUCCUUCCUUGCGAUUUGUGUCCAUUCUUUCGUCGGGGAAGUAGAUAGUGGAGUUCUCUGGGUCAGCGGGCUCUCGGCCCCUGGCUUGCUGAAGGCGAUCUUUUUUCGGAGCGCUGGAGGUUGCGCUUUUCCCUGCCUUACUUCGACAUUUUCGGAGGUUGUUGGAGGAGACUUCUUCCUUGGCGGAUCUGCGAUGCGAUGUAGAGCUCCUUCUUCAUCUGCUACGGAUGAGAUAGUUCCAAAGCGGAACACAGAUCCGGGGCGGAGCUAGCUUAGAUCGGCGACACACCCCCUACUUGGCGCGCCAGCUGUCGGUGUUUUGGGUCCGACCGCACACCCGGGGUUGCCCCUCAAGGUGUUUUUAGGAGUAGGACGGUGUUACCGACUGUAGCUCAAUGGUUCGUGCAGGGUGCACGAGAAACAGUAGAUAAUGGUGUACAGGUUCGGGCCGCUUUGAGAUGCGUAACACCCUACGUCCUGGCGAGAAUGCUUUAUGUGGUGGAUUACAAGGGAGCUCUCUAACGCUAGAACGUAGAGAGCUAGGGUGGAUGGCUGAGUAGUGAGAUCGAUCGUUCUGAAGGGGUGCCCCCUAGGUCUUAUAUAUUCGACCGUGAGGCAAUACAUGUGGAUAUGAUAACAAUGCGCACCUAAGAGAUAGUGAACUGAUUGAGUCUAUCUUCCUAUAGUUCUGCCGACUCAUCCUCGCUUGGUUCCGUUGUACGGGGCUCCAGCGCGGGAAAGUCGGGUCUCUGGUGUGGUUACUUGCUCGACGUUGUUGGGCCGUCUGGGCUCGCACCGAUCCGGCCUCGUGUCGAUCUGCUUCACUGGUCGUUCUUCCCCAGGCCCACGAAGGGAUGACCUUACGAAUUAUUGGGCCCUCGGGCCUUUCGUGAGGUCUUUUAUCCUUCCAGUGGACCCGAGGGAUAUCUGUCCCCCACAUCCGCCAAGAGGGAGAUGGAAACGGCCACAAGCCACGGGAAGGCUCCAUCAAGGGAGUCCGGCGGUAAACGAAGGGAGGAAUCACCUCCUCGCGUCAAGUCGCACCGGAGUGGUGACAAGAAGAAGAAAAUGAAGAAAGUGGUCUACUACGAGACCGAUUCCUCGUCGCCAUCCACCUUCGGCUCCGAAGCUCCGUCCAUCACUUCUAAGCGCCAUGAGCGCAAGAAGUUUAGUAAGAUUCACCUACGCUAUCCCCGCAUUUCCAAACGCACUCCUUUACUUUCCGUCCCAUUAGGCAAACCACCAGUUUUUUACGGUGAAGAUUAUUGUAUGUGGAGUGAUAAAAUGAGGCAUCACCUAACCUCACUCCACGCUAGCAUUUGGGACAUAGUUGAAUUUGGAGCGCAGGUACCAUCCGGGGGGAUGAAGGAUAUGAUUCGGACGAAGUCGCCCAAAUCCAACAUUUUGACUCCCAAGCCACCACUAUACUUCUCGCCUCUCUAUGUCGAGAGGAGUAUAACAAGGUGCAAGGGCUAAAAAGUGCCAAUGAGAUUUGGGAUGUGCUAAAGACCGCACAUGAAGGGGAUGAGGUGACCAAGAUCACCAAGCGGGAGACGAUCGAGGGGGAGCUCGGUCGUUUCAUCCUCAACCAAGGAGAGGAGCCACAAGCCAUGUACAACCGGCUCAAGACCUUGGUGAACCAAGUGCGCAACCUCGGGAGCACCAAAUGGGAUGACCAUGAAAUGGUCAAGGUUAUUCUAAGAUCACUUGUUUUUCGUAAUCCCACACAAGUUCAAUUAAUUCGUGGUGAUCCUAGAUAUAAGCUAAUGUCUCUCGAGGAGGUUAUAGGAAAGUUUGUGAGCUUUGAGUUGAUGAUCAAAGGCUCCAAACAAAUCAUCGAGCAAGGUGGCACCUCCACACCCGAGGUGCAACCCAUCACAUUUAAAGCGACGGAAGAAAAGAAAGAAGAGUCUACAUCAAGUAGGCUCCCCAUCGACGCCUCCAAGCUCGACAACGAGGAGAUAGCGCUCAUCAUCAAGAGCUUCCACCAAAUCCUCAAACAAAGGAGGGGGAAGGAUUACAAAUCCCGCUCCAAGAAAGUUUGAUACAAAUGUGGUAAGCCCGGUCAUUUUAUUGCUAAAUGUCCAUUAUCAAGUGAUAGUGACAGGCGCGACGACAAGAAGGGAAAGAGGAAGGAAAAGAAGAGAUACUACAAGAAGAAGGGCGGCGAUGCCCACGUGUGUCGAGAAUGGGACUCGGACGAGAGCUCCACCGACUCCUCCUUUGACGAGGACGCCGCCAACAUCGCCGUCACCAAAGGCCUCCUCUUCCCCAACGUCGGCCACAAGUGCCUCAUGGCAAAGGACAGCAAGAAAAAGAAGGUACAAGCUAGAACCACCCCCAAGUAUACUACAUCUAGUGAUGAGGGCAGUUCUAGUGAUGAUGAAGAUAACUUGCUUAGUCUUUUUGCCAACCUUAACAUGCAACAAAAGGAAAAAUUAAAUGAACUAAUAGGUUCCAUUCAUGAGAAGGAUGAACUCUUGGAUAGCCAAGAGGAAUUCCUUAUUAAAGAAAAUAAAAAACAUGUUAAGGUAAAGAAUGUUUAUGCUCAGGAAGUAGAAAAGAAUGAAAAUUUGACUAAGGAGCUUAGCAUUUGCCAUGACACAAUUUCCAACCUUAGAAAUGAGAACGGUAAUUUAAAUGCUAAGGUUGAAAAAUCAAAUGUUUGUCAUGAUUCAAUUGUCAAUCUUAAAAAUGAUAAUGCUAGUUUGGUUGCUAAGAUUGAUAAAUUGAAUGAAUCAAUUUCUAGCCUUAAAAUUGAAAAUGCUAGUUUAAUUUCAAAGGCUAAGGAAUUGAAUGUUUGCAAUAUUUCUAUUUCCAAUCUUAGAAAUGAGAAUGCCAUGUUACAUGCUAAGAUUGAUGAAUUAAAAUCUUGCAAACCCUAUACAUCCACUAUUGAUCAUGUUUCUAUUUGCAUGAGAUGUAGAGAUAUUAAUGUUGAUGCUAUCCAUGAUCACCUAGCUUUAAUUAAAGAACAAAAUGAUCACAUAGCUCAACUAACUGCUAAAAUUAAUGAGCAUGAGAUAGAAAAUGAAAAAUUUAAAUUUGCUAGAAGCAUGCUCUAUAAUGGGAGACGCCCUGGCAUUAAGGAUGGCAUUGGCUUCCAACAGGGAGACAAUAUCAAGCUUAAUACCCCUAAGAAAUUGUCUAAUUUUGUUAAGGGUAAGGCUCCCAUGGCUCAAGAUAACGAGGGUUACAUUUUAUAUCCUACUGGUUAUCCUGAGCACAAGAUUAGGAGAAUUCAUGCUAGGAAGUCUCAUUCUGUUUCCCAUCAUGCUUUUAUGUAUAAGACUGAGGCAUCCAGCUCUAGGCAUUCUACACAUGUUAAAAUGCCUAAAAAUAAAUCUCCUAUUGUAUCAAAUGAGCCCAGUGUUUCAUUUAAGACUUUUGAUGCUUCUUAUGUUUUAACUAACAAAUCAGGCAAAGUAGUUGCCAAAUAUGUUGGGGGCAAACACAAGGGCUCCAAGACUUGUGUUUGGGUACCCAAGGUGCUUGUCUCUAAUGUGAAAGGACCCAAGACCGUUUGGGUACCUAAGAACAAGGCCUAAACUUGUUUUGUAGGUUUAUGCAUCUGGGGGCUCAAGUUGGAUCAUUGAUAGCGGAUGCACAAACCACAAGACACGGGAGAAAAGGAUGUUCUCCUCCUACGAGAAAAACGAUGAUCCCCAAAGAGCUAUCACAUUUGGGGAUGAAAAUCAAGGUUUGGUCAAAGGACUUGGUAAAAUUGCUAUAUCACCUGACCAUUCCAUUUCCAAUGUUUUUCUUGUAGAUUCUUUAGAUUACAAUUUGCUUUCAGUUUCUCAAUUAUGCAAAAUGGGUUACAACUAUCUUUUUACAGAUAGGUGUUACUGUCUUUAUAAGAAGUGAUGAUUCAGUAGCAUUUAAGGGAGUAUUAGAGGGUCAGCUAUACUUAGUUGAUUUUAAUAGAGCUGAACUCGAUACUUGCUUAAUUGCUAAGACUAAUAUGGGUUGGCUCUGGCAUCGCCGACUAGCCCAUGUUGGGAUGAAGAAUCUUCACAAACUUCUAAAGGGAGAACACAUUUUGGGACUAACAAAUGUUCAUUUUGAGAAAGACAGGGUUUGUAGCGCAUGUCAAGCAGGAAAGCAAGUUGGUGCCCAUCAUCCACACAAGAACAUCAUGACGACCGACAGGACGCUUGAGCUACUCCACAUGGAUCUAUUCGGCCCGAUAGCUUACAUAAGCAUCGACGGGAGUAAGUAUUGUCUUGUAAUUGUGGAUGAUUAUUCUCGCUUCACUUGGGUAUUCUUCUUGCAGGAAAAAUCUCAAACCCAAGAGACCUUAAAGGGAUUCUUAAGACGAGCUCAAAACGAGUUCGGAUUAAGGAUCAAGAAGAUAAGAAGCGACAACGGGACGGAGUUCAAGAACUCUCAAAUUGAAGGAUUUCUUGAGGAGGAGGACAUCAAGCAUGAGUUCUCUUCUCCCUACACACCUAAACAAAAUGGUGUAGUGGAGAGGAAGAAUCGAACUCUACUGGACAUGGCAAGGACCAUGCUUGAUGAAUACAAGACUUUGGACCGGUUUUGGGCUGAGGCGAUUAACACCGCUUGCUACUCCAUCAACCGGCUUUAUCUUCACCGAAUCCUCAAGAAGACAUCUUAUGAACUCCUCACCGGUAAAAAGCCCAAUGUUUCAUAUUUUAGAGUCUUUGGUAGCAAAUGUUUUGUUCUUAUUAAAAGAGGUAGAAAAUCCAAAUUUGCUCCUAAGGCUGUAGAAUGCUUUUUACUUGGUUAUGACUCAAACACAAGGGCAUAUAGAGUCUUCAACAAAUCCACUGGAUUAGUUGAGGUUUCUUGUGACAUUGUAUUUGAUGAAAGUAAUGGCUCUCAAGUAGAGCAAGUUGAUCUUGAUGAGCUAGAUGGUGAAGAGGCUCCAUGCGUCGCGCUAAGGAACAUGUCCAUUGGGGAUGUGUGUCCUAAGGAAUCCGAAGAGCUCACUCAAGCUCAAGAUCAACUGUCAUCUUCCAUGCAAGCAUCUCCACCAACCCAAGAUAAGGAUCAGGCUCAAGAUAAUGAAGAAGAAGAUCAAGAAGAUGAGCCACCUCAAGAGGAGGACAAUGGUCAAGGGGGAGAUGAUAAUGAUCAAGAAAAGGAAGAUGAUCAAGAAGAUCAGGGUCAAAGACCGCCACACCCAAGAGUCCACCAAGCGAUACAACGAGAUCACCCUGUGAACUCCAUCCUCGUCGAUAUUCAUAAGGGGGUAACCACUCGAUCUCGUAUCGCUCAUUUUUGUGAACAUUACUCUUUUGUGUCUUCUAUUGAGCCAUACAGGGUAGAAGGCGCAUUAAGGGAUUUGGAUUGGGUGUUGGCAAUGCAAGAGGAGCUCAACAACUUCACGAGGAAUGAGGUAUGGCAUUUAGUUCCACGUCCUAACCAAAAUGUUGUAGGAACCAUGUGGGUAUUCCGCAACAAGCAAGAUGAGCAUGGUGUGGUGACAAGGAACAAAGCCCGACUUGUGACCAACGGCUAUUCACAAGUUGAAGGUUUGGAUUUUGGUGAAACCUAUGCACCCGUAGCUAGGCUUGAAUCAAUUCGUGUAUUACUUGUCUAUGCUACUUACAAUGGCUUUAAGCUCUAUCAAAUGGACGUGAAAAGUGCCUUCCUCAAUGGACCAAUCAAGGAAGAGGUCUAUGUGAAAGGAAAAUGUGCCCUUGGGCCAUUUCUACAAUGUUUUGGUGAUUAAAUGUCCAACACGUUUGAUUAAGUUCUUUUGUACCAAAUAAAGAGAGAAGUACAAAUCAAGGCACAAGGUAUGUUUCUAGACUUAGUACAUUGUUGUUUGAACGCUAAUGUGCUUGUCUAAGUGCUAGAAAUAGUGAGAAAAGAAGAAGAAAAGAAACCGAAAAGACUUGGCUCUGUGCAGCCAAACUUCAGCUCAGUCUGGCACACCGGACAGUGUCCGGUGCGCCAGGCUGAUCUCUGGUGAAAGUGCUGCUCUCGGGAAUCGACGGCGACGUACGGCUAAAAAUCACCGGACUGUCCGGUGGUGCACCGGACUGUCCGGUAAGCCAACGGUCGCCUGCGCCAACGGCCAGCCACGCAAUCUUCGUGUGACACGUGGUCGCGCUAACGGUCAGUUGGGCACACCGGACUGUCCGGUGCGCCAACCGACCCCGAGGACCAACGGUCGGAUACGCCUAAUUUGGAAGGCGAUCACGCAUCGGACAACUACAGUGGCUGUCCGGUGGUGCACCGGACUGUCCGGUGCACCACCCGACAGAAGGCAAGUUUGGCCUUCCAAGUUGGCCUCCAACGGCUCCUAGCUGCCUUGGGGCUAUAAAAGGGACCCCUAGGCGCAUGGAGGAGCUACCCAAGUAUUCACUAAGCAUUCUAAGACUCCCACACUCCGUCUCCGCGCACUUGAUCGAUUGUGUUAGUGAUUUGAGCUCCGUUCGAGUUGUGAACUCUCUGUGCUACAUUUCGAGCUCAAGUCUUGGCUUGUGUGCGUGUGUGUGCUGCGGAUUUGUGUUGUGUGUGUGCUGCUUCUCCCAACCUUACUCCAUGCUUUCCUUGUGAUCUUUAUUGUAAGGGCGAGAGACUCCAAAUUGUGGAGAUUCCUCGCAAACGAGAAGAUACUCUAAACAAAAAGACCGUGGUAUUCAAGUUGAUCAUUGGAUCACUUGGAAGGGGUUGAGUGCAACCCUCGUCCAUUGGGACGCCACAACGUGGAAGUAGGCAAGUGUUACUUGGCCGAACCACGGGAUAAAAAUCAUGUGUCUCUUGUGUUGGAUUAUCUGUGAUUGUUGUGUUCACAAGAACUCGCUUCAAAGCUACUUCGUCGCUAACGCUAUAACAUCUAAGUUUUGUGGCUAUUUAGAGUUUGAUUUUACAGGAUCACCUAUUCACCCCCCCCCCUCUAGGUGCUCUCAAUUGGUAUCAGAGUCGUACUCUUCACGUAAGGGACUAAUCGCCCGAAGAGAUGGAUCCUAAGGGAAAGGGGAUGGUGGUCAAUGACAAGGAGAAGGAGUCCAUCUUCAACGAGCCAAGAGAUAACAAGCCCACUGACUCAGGCUCGAGUCACAAGAAGAAGGACGGGAAGAAGAAGAGGCGCAUCAAGAAGAUCAUCUACUACGACAGCGAUGCAUCUUCUUCUUUACCAAGAGACGACGACGAUGACGAUUCUUCGUCAAAGAAAAAGAUGCUUAAUCAAAACUAUUCUUUUGAUUAUUCCUGCAUGUCGUACAAUUCAAAUGCGCAUCUACUUUCAAUUCCCCUUGGAAAACCUCCACACUUUGAUGGAGAGGACUAUUCGUUUUGGAGUCAUAAAAUGCGUAGUCAUUUAUUCUCUCUCCAUCCUAGCAUAUGGGAAAUUGUAGAAAAUGGGAUGCACUUUGACAUCACUGAUAAUCCUGUGAUUAUUAAUGAGCAAAUCCAUAAAAAUGCCUAAGCUACUACUGUGUUGUUAGCAUCUCUUUGCAGCGACGAGUAUAACAAAGUGAGUGGCUUGGACAAUGCCAAACAAAUCUAGGAUACCCUCAAGAUAUCACAUGAGGGAAAUGAUGCCACUAUGAUCACAAAGAUGGAACUAGUGGAAGGCGAGCUGGGGAGGUUCGCGAUGAUCAGGGGAGAGGAGCCAACUCAGACCUACAACAGGCUCAAGACUCUGGUCAACAAGAUCCGAAGGUAUGGAAGCACAAGAUGGACGGAUCAAGAUGUCAUCCGACUCACGUUAAGGUCAUUUACUGUAAUUGACCCCCAUCUUGUAAAUCUUAUUCGUGAAAAUCCCAGGUACACCAAGAUGACGCCCGAGGAGAUCCUUGGAAAAUUUGUGAGCGGGUGCAUGAUGGUGAAGGAGGCACGAUACGUGGAUGACGCUUUGAAUGGUCCACUACCCAUCUACGAGCCACGGCCUAUUGCUCUCAAAGCAACAAGCAGCAAGGAGGCACUACCAAGCAAGGUAGCUCAAGUGGAGGCUGCCGGACUCAAUGAAGAUGAGAUGGCGCUUAUCAUCAGCGUUUCAAGACCGCACUCAAAGGAUGCAAGGAGUACCCCAACAGAAAUAAAACAAAGGGAAGACGCUCCUGCUUCAAAUGCGGUAAGACUGGUUACUUUAUUGCAAACUUUCCCGAUAAUGAUAGUGACCAGGGACAAGAAAAGAGCGGGAAGAAGGAGAAAAAGAAGAACUACAGGAAGGCAAAGGGCGAGGCGCACCUUGGAAAGGAAUGGGACUCGGACUGCUCCUCUUCCGACUCUGACGACGAAGGACUUUCUGCCUCGGCUUUCAACAAAUCCUCACUCUUCCCCAACGAUCGUCAUACAUGUCUUAUGGCCAAGGAGAAAAAGGUACGUAUUCGAGAUUCUCCUAAGUACUCUACUUCUAGUGAUGAGGAAUCCUCCGAUGAUGAAGUAGAUUACUCUUAUUUAUUUAAAGGAUUAGAUAGAGCCAAGCUAGAGAAAAUUAAUGAAUUAAUUGAUGCUCUAAAUGAAAAGGAUAGAUUGCUAGAGAAACAAGAAGAUAUUUUGUAUGAAGAACAUGACAAAUUUAUUAGUGUUCAAAAAUCUCUUGCUCUAGAAAUUAAAAGAAAUGAAAUGCUAUCCUCUGAGUUGUCUGCUUGUCAUGAAUCUGUUUCUAGUUUAAGGAGUUUAAAUGAUGAAUUAAAUGCUAAGCUAGAGGAAGCUAGUAAAAUAAGUUCAUGUGUAGAGCAUGUAAGUCUUUGUAUAGAUGUAAAGACUUUGAUGUUGAUGCAUAUGAUGAACAUCUGAUUGCUAUUACUACAUUGAAUGAUGAGGUGGCAAGUCUUAAUGCUCAACUUAAUACUUGCAAAAGUGAUUUUGAUAAAUUAAAGUUUGCUAGGGAAUCCUACACUAUUGGUAGACACCCCUCAAUUAAGGAUGGACUUGGGUUUCGAAAGGAAACCAAGAACUUGACAAAGCCAAAAAGCUCCCGUUCUCAACAAGGAGAAAGGGAAGGCCCCUAUGGCUAGUAGUCUUCAAAGGAAUCAUGCUUUUAUUUAUGAUAGGUAAAUUGCUAGUCGUUCCAAUUAUAAUAAGAGUUAUGUUCAUGCUGCUUAUAAUGAUUCACAUGCUAUGUUUGCCUCUAGCUCUACUUUUGUUCAUGGUAGAAGUAGGCCUAGGAGAAAUAAUGUUGUGCCUCAUGUGCCUAGGAAAAUGUGCAAUGAACCUUCUACCAUUUACCAUGCUUGCAAUACUUCAUUUGUGCUUUUACGUAAAAAUGAAAAAGUAGUUGCUAGGAAGUUGGGAUCCAAAUGCAAGGGAGACAAAACUUGCAUAUGGGUUCCAAAAACUAUUUUGACUAACCUUGUAGGACCCAAUAAGAGUUGGGUACCUAAAACCCAAGCUUAAAUUCCUUGCAGGUUUAUGCAUCCAAGGGCUCAAGCUAGAUUAUCGACAACGGAUGCACAAACCACAUGACGGGGGAGAAGAAGAUGUUCACCUCCUACGUCAAGAACAAGGAUUCCCAGGAUACGAUCAUCUUUGGAGAUGGGAACCAAGGCAAGGUCAAAGGCUUGGGCAAGAUAGCCAUCACCAACGAGCACUCCAUAUCGAAUGUAUUUCUAGUAGAGUCGCUUGGUUACAACCUUCUGUCUAUAAGUCAAUUGUGUCACAUGGGUUACAAUUGUCUUCUUACAAACGUUGAUGUAUCUGUCUUUAGAAGGAGUGAUGGUUCAUUAGCUUUUAAGGGUGUAUUAGACGGCAAACUCUACUUAGUUGAUUUUUCGAAAGAGGAGGCCGAUCUAGAUGCAUGCUUAAUAGCUAAGACUAGUAUGGGUUGGUUGUGGCAUCGCCGUCUAGCACAUGUUGGGAUGAAGAACCUUCAUAAACUUCUAAAGGGAGAACAUGUGUUAGGACUAACCAAUGUUUGUUUCGAGAAAGAUAGGCCUUGUGCAGCAUGUCAGGCAGGGAAACAGGUGGGAAGCACUCAUCAUAGCAAGAAUGUGAUGACAACAUCAAGACCACUGGAGCUUCUUCACAUGGACCUCUUCGGAGCCGUUGCCUACCUUAGCAUCGGGGCAAGUAAGUAUGGUCUUGUAAUUGUUGAUGAUUUUCCUGCUUCACUUGGUGUUCUUUUUGCAGUUUAAAUCAGAAACCCAAGGGACCCUAAAACGCUUUCUAAGGAGGGCUCAAAACGAAUUUGAGCUAAAGGUGAAAAAGAUAAGGAGCGACAAUAGGUCCGAGUUUAAGAAUCUGCAAGUUGAGGAGUAUCUUGAGGAGGAAGGCGUCAAGCACGAGUUCUCCACUCCCUACACACCACAGCAAAACGGUGUGGUAGAGAGGAAGAACAUGACGCUUAUCGACAUGGCGAGAAUGAUGCUUGGAGAGUUCAAGACACCCGAGCGGUUUUGGUCGAAAGCUGUGAACACAGCUUGCCACGCCAUAAACUGACUCUAUCUGCAUCGCCUUCUCAAGAAGACCUCCUACGAACUCCUUACCGGUAACAAACCCUACGUCUCCUACUUUCGUGUAUUUGGGAGCAAAUGUUACAUUCUGGUGAAGAAAGGUAGACAUUCUAAAUUUGCUCCCAAGGCAGUAGAAGGGUUUUUACUAGGGUACGACUCAAAUACAAAGGCGUAUAGAGUCUUCAACAAAUCAUCAGGUUUGGUUGAAGUCUCUAGCAACGUUGUAUUUGAUGAGACUAAUGGCUCUCCAAGAGAGCAAGUUGGUCUUGAUGACAUAGAUGAAGAUGAUGUUCCAACGGCCGCAAUGCGCACGAUGGCGAUUGGUGAUGUGCGGCCACAGGAACAACAGGAGCAAGAUCAGCCAUCUUCCUCCACAAUGGUGCAUCCUCCAACUCAAGACGGUGCACAGGUACCUCAAGAAGAGGGACAAGAUCAAGGGGGAGCAUAGGAAGAACAAGUGAUGCAGGAAGAAGCACCACGUGCCCCUCCAACUCAAGUCCGAGCAACGAUCCAACGACAUCACCCCGUUGACCAGAUUCUGGGUGACAUAAGCAAGGGAGUAACUACUCGCUCAAGAUUAGCAAACUUUUGUGAGCAUUACUCGUUUGUCUCUUCUAUUGAGCCUUUCAGGGUAGAAGAGGCCUUGCAGGAUCCGGAUUGGGUGUUGGCCAUGCAGGAAGAGCUCAACAACUUCAAGAGAAAUGAAGUUUGGAGCCUGGUGCCACAUCCAAAGAAAAAUGUUGUGGGAACCAAGUGGGUGUUUCGCAAUAAGCAAGACGAGCACGGGGUGGUGACAAGAAACAAGGCUCGACUUGUGGCAAAAGGUUAUGCCCAAGUCGCAGGUUUGGAUUUCGAGGAGACUUUUUCUCCUGUGGCUAGGCUAGAGUCUAUUCGAAUUUUAUUGGCCUAUGCCGCUCACCACUCUUUCAGGCUAUUUCAAAUGGAUGUGAAGAGCGCUUUCCUCAAUGGGCCAAUAAAGGAGGAGGUAUACAUGGAACAACCACCUGGCUUUGAGGAUGACAGGUACACCGACCAUGUGUUCAAGCUCUCUAAGGCGCUCUAUGGACUUAAGCAAGCCCAAGAGCAUGGUAUGAAUGCCUUAGAGAUUUCUUAAUUGCUAAUGCCUUCAAGGUUGGGAAAGUCGAUCCCACUCUUUUUACAAAGACUUGUGAUGGUGAUAUUUUUGUGUGCCAAAUUUAUGUCGAUGACAUAAUAUUUGGUUCUACUAAUCAAAAGUCUUGUGAGGAGUUUAGCAGGGUGAUGACACAAAAGUUCGAGAUGUCGAUGAUGGGCAAGUUGACCUACUUUCUUGGGUUCCAAGUGAAGCAACUCAAGGAUGGCACCUUCAUCUCCCAAACGAAGUACACACAAGAUCUUCUUAAGCGGUUUGGGAUGAAGGACGCCAAGCCCGCGAAGACACCGAUGGGAACCGACGGGCAUGUUGACCUCAACAAAGGAGGUAAGUCCAUUGAUCAAAAGGCAUACCGGUCCAUGAUAGGUUCAUUGCUUUAUUUAUGUGCUAGUAGAGCGGACAUUAUGCUAAGUGUAUGCAUGUGUGCUAGAUAUCAAUCCGGCCCCAAGUAAUGUCACCUUGUGGCCGUUAAGCGAAUUCUUAGAUAUUUAGUUUCUACGCCUUGCUUUGGGAUCUGGUAUCCAAAGGGAUCUACCUUUGACUUGAUUGGAUACUCAGACUCCAAUUAUGCCGGGUGCAAGGUUGAUAGGAAGAGCACAUCUGGGACGUGCCAAUUUCUAGGAAGGUCCCCGGUGUCCUGGAGUUCAAAGAAACAAACAUUUGUUGCCCUAUCCACCGCUGAGGCCGAGUAUGUUGCCGCAGGACAGUGUUGCGCGCAACUACUUUGGAUGAGGCAAACCCUCCGAGACUUUGGCUACAAUCUGAGCAAAGUCCCACUCCUAUAUGACAAUGAGAGUGCUAUCCGCAUGGCGGAUAAUCCUGUUGACCACAGCCGCACUAAGCACAUAGACAUCCGGCAUCACUUCCUGAGAUACCACCAGCAAAAGGGAGAUAUCGAGGUGUACCAUAUUAGCAAUGAGAACUAGCUAGCCGAUAUCUUUACCAAGCCGUUGGAUGAGAAAACUUUUUGCAAGUUGCGUAGUGAGCUAAAUGUCUUAGAUUCGCGUAACUUGGAUUGAUCUAUAGCAUACAUGUGCUCUAUGCCUUUGAUCAUGUUACUUUGAAGCAUUUACAUUACUUGUUGUAUAUUUGUGGUGCUCAAGUUGUACAAGACCUCCCCGGACCUCACAAGUCAAUAUGCAAAUGGUGCACAUAUUUAGGGGGAGAUAUGCUACAACUUGACCCUUUGAGACUAACCUUUGUGUUUGAGUAUACUUGAUGUAGUCUCAAAAGUGCAUUGAAAGGGAAAGGUGAACUUGGAUGAUGUAAAGACUUCCACUGCACUCCGGUAUUAGUGUACUCACUUCCAAGUUCAUACUUGCAAUUUCAUUGCCUUUUUCUCUUAAUUGACAUUUUUGGUGAGGCAAUGGGGUUAAGAGGGCCAAAAAUGAUUCUGUUUUGGUGCUUAAUGCCAAAGGGGGGGAAAUUAAGGCCAAAGCAACUGGAUCAGCCAACCACUUGAGAAUUUUGAAAAUAGUAGAGUUAGAAUUUGAUUUUGUCAAAAUACUCUAAUUGCAAAAUUUGGUCUCUUGUGGGGGAGAAUUCUUGAUUAUGGUAAAAGGGGGAGUUUUUGGUACUUGAUCAAUUUUUCUCUUGGAAUAUCUCUUGAGUUGCCCAAACAAGUGUGCUUGACUUAGAGAUAGGAAAAAUGAUUUGAUUUACAAAAACAAACCAAGUGGUGGCAAAGAGUGAUCCAAAUAUGCCAAAUCAAUAGCGAAAACAAUUUGGUCUUCAAUUGCAUUGAUUUUGCACUUCUUUUGUUGCUUUUUGAUGUGUUGGCAUAAAUCACCAAAAAGGGGGAGAUUGAAAGGAAAAUGUGCCCUUGGGCCAUUUCUAUAAUGUUUUGGUGAUUAAAUGUCCAACACGUUUGAUUAAGUUCUUUUGUACCAAAUAAAGAGAGAAGUACAAAUCAAGGCACAAGGUAUGUUUCUAGACUUAGUACAUUGUUGUUUGAACGCUAAUGUGCUUGUCUAAGUGCUAGAAACAGUGAGAAAAGAAACUGAAAAGACUUGGCUCUGUGCAGCUAAACUUUAGCUCAGUCUGGCACACCGGACUGUCCGGUGGUGCACCAGACAGUGUCCGGUGCCCCAGGCUGGUCUCCGAUGAAAGUGCUGCUCUCGGGAAUCGACGGCGGCGUACGACUAAAAAUCACCGGACUGUCCAGUGAGCCAACGGUCGCCUGCGCCAACGGUCAACCGCGCAAUCUUCGCGUGACACGUGGUCGCGCCAACGGUCGGUUGGGCACACCGGACUGUCCGGUGUGCACCGGACAGUGUCCGGUGCGCCAACCAACCCUGAGAACCAAUGGUCGAAUGCGCCUAAUUUGGAAGGCGAUCGCACACCGGACAACUACAGUGACUCUCCGGUGCACCACCCGACAGAAGGCAAGUUUGGCCUUCCAAGUUGGCCUCCAACGGCUCCUAGCUGCCUUGGGGCUAUAAAAGGGACCCCUAGGCGCAUGGAGGAGCUUCACAAGUAUUCACUAAGCAUUCUAAGACUCACACACUCCGUCUCUGUGCACUUGAUCGAUUGUGUUAGUGAUUUGAGCUCCGUUCGAGUUGUGAACUCUCUGUGCUACGUUUCGAGCUCAAGUCUUGGCUUGUGUGCGUGUGUGUGCUGUGGAUUUGUGUUGUGUGUGUGUUGCUUCUCCCAACCUUACUCCAUGCUUUCCUUGUGAUCUUUAUUGUAAGGGCGAGAGACUCCAAAUUGUGGAGAUUCCUCGCAAACGGGAAGAUACUCUAAACAAAAAGACCAUGGUAUUCAAGUUGAUCAUUAGAUCACUUGAAAGGGGUUGAGUGCAACCCUCGUCCAUUGGGACGCCACAACGUGGAAGUAGGCAAGUGUUACUUGGCCGAACCAUGGGAUAAAAAUCGCGUGUCUCUUGUGUUGGAUUAUCUGUGAUUGUUGUGUUCACAAGAACUCGCUUCAAAGCUACUUCAUCACUAACGCUAUAACAUCUAAGUUUUGUGGCUAUUUAGAGUUUGAUUUUACAGGAUCACCUAUUCACCCCCCCCUCUAGGUGCUCUCACUAUGUUGAGCAACCUCCCGACUUUGAAGAUAGUGAGUACCCUAACCAUGUGUAUAAACUCUUAAAGGCGCUUUAUGGGCUCAAGCAAGCCCCAAGAGCAUGGUAUGAAUGCCUAAGAGAUUUCCUUAUCACUAAUGGUUUCAAAGUCGGAAAAGCCGAUCAUACUCUCUUUACUAAAAACAUUGCAAAAGAUUUGUUUGUAUGUCAAAUUUAUGUUGAUGAUAUCAUAUCUGGGUCUACUAACAAACCUACUUGUGAAGAGUUUAGUAGGAUAAUGAUUCAAAAAUUCGAGAUGUCUAUGAUGGAGGAGUUGAAGUAUUUCCUAGGAUUUCAAGUGAAGCAACUCCAAGAGGGAAUCUUCAUCAGCCAAACCAAGUACAUUCAAGAUAUACUUACCAAGUUUGGAAUGAAGGAUGCCAAGCCCAUCAAGACACCCAUGGGAACCAAUGGGCAUCUUGACCUCAACACGGGAGGUAAAUCCCUAGAUCAAAAGGUAUAUCAGUCGAUGAUAGGAUCUCUACUCUAUUUAUGUGCAUCUUGACCGGAUAUUAUGCUUUCUGUAUGCAUGUGUGCAAGAUUCCAAGUCGAUCCUAAGGAAGUUCACCUUAGGGCCGUAAAAAGAAUCUUGAGAUAUUUAGUUCACACACCUAAGUUUGGUCUUUGGUACCCCAAGGGAUCCACCUUUGAUUUAAUAGGUUAUUCAGAUGUUGAUUGGGCAGGGUGUAAAAUUGAUAGAAAGAGCACAUCAGGGACUUGUCAGUUUUUGGGAAGAUCCCUGGUGUCUUGGGCUUCAAAGAAACAAAAUUCAGUAGCUCUUUCUACCGCCGAAGCAGAAUAUAUUGCCGCAGGAAAUUAUUGUGCGCAAUUACUUUGGAUGAGGCAAAUCCUUAGGGACUACGACUACAAAUUUAGCAAAGUCCCUCUCCUAUGUGACAAUGAGAGUGCAAUCCGCAUGGCGGAUAAUCCCGUUGAACACAGCCGCACUAAGCACAUAUUCAUUCGGUAUCACUUUUUGAGGGAUCACCAACAAGGGGGGAUAUCGAGAUUGCUUAUGUUAGCACCAAAGAACAAUUAGCCGAUAUAUUUACCAAGCCAUUAGAUGAGAAAACCUUUACCAAACUUAGGAAUGAGCUAAACAUCCUUGAUUCUCGGAACUUUGAUUGACACUUUGCACACAUAGUUCAUUUAUGUACCUUUGAUCACAUCUCUUUCACUUUGGUACAAAUGCACAAUUCCCAUUAUUUAUGUACCAAAGCUAUGACUAAUGUGUAUUCAAGUGUAUUUCUACUAAGUCAUAGAAUGAAAGGGAAAUGGAGUCUUCGGCGACGACUAGGCUUCCACUCCACUCUAUCGAUAUCAAUUACCCUUCGCUGUCACUCCGCACCACUCUCCACUUUGGUAUAAUCUUCACUCUUAUUACUAGUACCAAUGGGGAGAAAGUAAAAAGGGCUCAUAUUUUACUUACAAAGUAUCCGUUUUUGGUGAUUCAUGUCAAAGGGGGAGAACGUAUUAGCCCAAAGCAAAAGGACCGCACCGACCGCACCACCACCAAUUUCAAAAAGUUUUUAAAAGCAGUCUUUCAAUUAGUAUUAGAGAAGUUUUUCAAUUGGUAUCUUACUUUUGAUAUAAUUUCAAAUUGGUAUGACCUCUUUCAAAAUUGACAUCUAAAAACCCUCUUGAUCCCUAAGAGGAGAAUUUCAUUGAGGGGGAGUUUUGUUUUAGUCAAAGGAAAUGCAUUUGAAAUAGGGGGAGAAAAUUUCAAAUCUUGAAAAUGCUUCUUACAAACUUAUUCAUAUACCUUUGACUAUUUGCAAAAGGACUUUGAAAAGAUUUUCCAAAAGAAUUUGCAAAAACAAAACAAGUGGUGCAAGCGUGGUCCAAAAUGUUAAAAGAAAGAAAGCAAUCCAUGCAUAUCUAAUAAAAGUUAAAUUGGUUUAAUUCCAAGCAACCUUUGCACUUCUUUAUGCAAACUAGUUCAAUUCUGCACUUAAAUAUUUGCUUUGGUUUGUGUUGGCAUCAAUCACCAAAAAGGGGGAGAUUGAAAGGGAAAUAGGGUCAAACCUUUUCCUAAAUGAUUUUGGUGGUUGAAAUGUCCAACACAAAUUAUUGGACUAACUAGUUUGCUCUAGAUUAUAUGUUCUACAGGUGCCAAAGGUUCAACACAAAUCAAUAAAAAGAUCAAAGUUAGGGUUCAAAAGAAAGGAGCAAAAGAAACCGAAGAGAACUCUGGUCUGGUGCACCGGACUGUCCGAUGCACCAGGGAGGAUCGACCUCAAACUCUUCACCUUCGGGUUUCUCCAGGCGCACUCCGCUAUAAUUCACCGGACUGUCCAAUGUGCCACCGGACUGUCCGGUGCACCAAGCGGAGCAACGGCUAUCAGCGCAAUGGUCGACUACACGGUGUCCUGACAGAGCUACAGUUCAUGGCAGAAGUCAGAGCAGGCGCCAGAGGCGCACCGGACACUGAACAGUAGCUGUCUGGUGCGGCACCGGACUGUUCGGUGCACCAAGAUGUCAGAGCUCCAACGGUCGAACCCGUUAGAACCCUAACGGUUGGGUGAUGUGGCUGGCGCACCAGACUGUCUGGUGCGCCCAUCGACAGCAGCCCUCCCCAACGGCUGUUUUGGUGGUUGGGGCUAUAAAUACCCCCCAACCACCACCAUUCAAGGCAUCCAAGUUUCCAACAUUUUGCAUUCAAUACAAGAGCUCUAGACUUCACUCCAAGACACAAACAAGAGAUCAAAUCCUCUCCCAAGUCCAAAAUCACUCCAAACACUUAGUGACUAGUGAGAGAGAGAUUUUCGUGUUCAUUUGAGUUCUUGACGCUUGGAUCGCUUUUCUUCUUCCUCCAUUCUUGUUCUCAAGCAACUUGUAAUCAAAGAAAGAGACACCAAGUUGUGGUGGUCCUUGUAGGGGUCUGAGUGACCCGGUUUGAUUAAGGAGAAAGCUCACUCGGUCUAGGUGACUGUUUGAGAGAGGGAAAGGGCUGAAAGAGACCCGGUCUUUGUGACCACCUCAACGGGGACUAGGUUUGCACGAACCGAACCUCGGUAAAACAAAUCACUGUGUCCCUCGCCUUAUUUCUUGGUUGAUUAGUUUUUUGCCCUCUCUUUCGGACUCGGUUUUUAAUUCUAACACUAACCCCGACUUGUAGUUGUGCUUUAAGUUUAUAAAUUUCAGAUUUGCCUAUUCACCCCCCCCCCCUCUAGGCAACUUUCACUUGUUCAUGAGAGACAAAUGUAUCUUCAUUUGCAUGCCUCUCAUAUUUUUCAUCAUCUUGUGGUACAUUAGAUGAAGAAGGCAUGUCAACAAUUUGCACCUCUUCUUCAUCUUCUUUUGGUUUGAUGGCUCCAAUAGGCAUGUUCUUCAUGGCUUCCCUAAGUGGCUCAUCACCUACAUCAUCAAGAUUUUCAAGUGCUCCUUGGGAGCCAUUAGUCUCAUCAAACUCCACAUCAUAUGUUUCUUCUACCACGCGAGUGGCAUGAUUGAAUACUCGAUAUGCUUUGGAUUUUGAUGUAUAACCAAGUACAAAACCAAUAUCACAACGUCUUUGAAACUUCCCUAGAGGAUGGCGUUUCUUGCAGAUGUAGUAUUUGCAUCCAAACACCCGAAAGAAAGAGACAUCUAGCUUUUUCCCAUUUAGCAGUUCAUAGGGAGUCUUCUCAAGUAGCCGGUGAGGAAAUAGCAUGUUUGACGCAUAACAUGUAGUGUUGAUAGCUUCGGCCCAAAACCUCUCCAGAGUGUUAUACUCAUCAAUCGUUGUCCUUGCAAGUGUGAUCAAGGUCCUGUUCUUCCUUUCAAAAACUUCAUUUUGUUGAGGUGUAUAUGUUGCUGAAACUUCAUGCUUAAUCCUAAUCUCAUCACAAUAUCCAUGUAUGUUGGUGUUAUCAAAUUCUUUUCUAUUAUCACUUCUAAUCUUCUUGAUCUUGCAAUCAAAUUCAUUUUGAGCUUUCUUAGCAAACUUCUUGAAUAUAGAUGCAACUUCAGAUUUAUCAUGGAGAAAGAACACCCAAGUGUAUCUUGAAAAAUCAUCAACUAUAACCAGACAGUAGAGGUUGCCACCAGCACUAUCAUAAGUUGUUGGUCCAAAUAGAUCCAUGGAAAGUAGUUCGAGUGGCCUUGAUGUUGACAUGAAAGCUUUUGUAGGAUGUGUGUUAGCAACUUGCUUUCCAACUUGACAUGCACUACAAGGCAUGUCCUUCUCAAAUACAACAUCCUUUAGUCCUCUAACCAUGUCCUUCCUUAGUACUUUCUUGAGUGUGCUCAUUCCAACAUGUGGAAGCCUUCUAUGCCAUAGCCAUCCAAGUGAUGCUUUGGUAAAGAGGCAAGUUCUUAAGUUUGCAUCUUCAGAGGUGAAAUCCACUAAGCAGAGAUUGUUGUAUCUAAAUUCUUUGAACACCAUUGAUUCAUCAUCCAUUUUUGAUACAAUAACCUCUGUAGGAGUGAAUAAGCAUUGAAGGCCAAGAUCACAAAGUUGACCCACUGAUAAUAAGUUGAAGCUCAAAGGUGCAACCAAGAGAACAUUUGAAAUUGAUAGAUCAUUUGAAAUUGCCACCUUGCCAAGUCCUUAAACUUUUCCCUUUGAAUUAUCCCCAAAAGUGAUUUUGUCUUGUCCAUCAACAUUCUCAUCAAGUGAGGUGAACAUUCGUGGGUUGCCUGUCAUAUGUUGUGUGCAUCCACUGUCAAUAACCCAAUGGCUCCCACCGGUCUUGUAGUUCACCUACAUCCACAGACAAAUCAAGCUUGAAUUUUGAGGGCCCUAUUUUGCAUAGGGUCAGUGACUUUCUCAAUCAAGGACUUUGCAACCCAAAUUUGUCUAGGUCUACUCUUGCUUGGUGGACCUAGGAAUGUAACUUUGACUUUUCCAUUUGCUACUUUUUUUAGAACAUAAAGGGCAUUGAAAGCAAAUGGUCUUGAGUGCUUUGGCAAGGGAGUUGGUGGUUUGGCUUUGCAGUUGUGGGCAAAAUGACCUUCUUUUCCACACUCAAAGAAUUUGAUAGGCUUAUGAGUCUGCUUUGGCUUGUAUUGAUUUGUAGCUUUCUUUUGCACAAAAGAAUUAUAUCCAAUACCACUCUUAUUGUUUUUCAUGACAGUGUUCAUGAGCAAUUCAUUUUGGAGGUAUUGGCCAUUGUUAAACUUUUGCACACUUGUUGCAAGAUGUUCAUUUUCACUCUUAAGUUUCUUGACCUCGUUUUUAAGCCUUUCAUUAUCCACUGCCAACUCAUUGUUGAAGUCAUUGUUCUCAACGGUAACCUUUCCUCUAGUAGUUGCAUCAGUCAAAUAUCUCUUCAAUUUUUGGUUGUCCAAUGUCAAGACUUCAACUUUUUCAGCCAGUUCAUCAUGAAGACUAGUUUGAUCAUCUUGGCCCAAAUCAUCACAUGAGGUUGCUACAUCAAUCUUAACAAUAGGGUUAAUAGCCUCAUGUGUAUUGCAAGAUAAAAGCUUAUUUGCAACAAGAAGGUUAUCAUGAUCAAUUUUAAUCUUUGUAUAGUCUUCCUUAAUUUUCACAAGUCUUUCUUUCAACUCCCUAUUUGCUUCAUUUAAAUUGUCACACUUAUCCUUAGCAUCUUUUAGGGAGGAUUUAAGCUCACUUACAAUGGAUGACAUAGUUUUGUUUUCUUAUUUCAUCUCAUCACUAGCUUUUACAACUAUGUCAUAUUUGGUAGUUAGAAAUUCAUUUUCAUCUUUCAACUUAUCACAUUUAGCCUUUGACUUUCUAAUGACUUGAGUGUAUUCCUUAAGCAAGUCAGCUAGUUCAUCAUAGGAAGGUGAAGCAAAUUCAUCAUCACUAUCACUAUCACUAUCAUCAAUAAUAUCAUUAUCAUUUUGUACCUUUCGUUCACCUCUAGCCAUGAGGCAUAGGUGAGAAGUCGAUGAAGGUGAUGGUGGUGAUGAAGAGAAGUCCCCAGCAAUGGCGGUAACUUUUUCAUCAUUUUCUUCUUCACUUGAAGAAGACCCGCUAGAUGACUCAAUGUCAGUGAGCCAAUAACCAAGAAUGUAUGUCUUUCCAUUUUUAUUUUUGUGGAACCUUUUCUGCUUCCCAUCCUUUCUCCUAAAGAAUUUCUUUUCCUUUUUCUCUUCAUCACUGUCAUCAUCUUUCUUGCCCUUGAACUUGUUCUUCUUGGGCUUAUUGCACUGAUGAGCAAGAUGACCAAGCUCUCCACAGUUAUAGCAGUCCAUUUCAGAGAUGGGAUUUCUUUUACUAGAGAAGAAUUUCUUCUUUCUUGAGUCAAACUUGAUGCCUUCUCUGUUGAGCUUCUUUAACAUCUUGGUGGUCUUCCUCACCAUCAAGGCAAUGUUAGCAUCAAGAUCAUCAUCACUUGAGGAUUCCUCCUCAAUUUGUACUUUAGCUUUUCCUUUCUUUUCUUGAUUGGCUUUGAGAGCCAAAUCCUUUCUCUUGGAAUAUGACUCUUCCUUGUCAUUGAUGUGCAUGUACAUCUCAUGAGCAUUGAUAUUUCCCAAUAUUCGUGUAGGAGUAGCAACUGAAAGAUUCAUCUGGUGCAGCACUAUACAAUGUGUCUAUAUUUGUUAAUUGGGAGGACACUAAGAAUCUUCCUCACAACAUUCGGUUGUGAAAUUUGUGUAAGCCCCAAGCCAUUUACUUCCUCUACAAGAAUAUUGAGACGUGGGUACAUAGCAUUGGCAUUUUCAUUUGCAAGCAUCUCAAAAGAAUUUAACUUUCUCAUAGCAAUAUGAUAUCUUCCUCACGCUCACUUCUAGUCCCUUCAUGUAGAGCACAUAUAUCCAUCCACAAAUCAUGAGCAUUUCUAUGGUUUCUUACUCUAUCAAAGACAUCUUUGCAAAGGCCUCUAAAAAGAGUGUUUUUGGCCUUAGCAUUCCAUUUCUCAUAGUUAUACUCUUCUCCUACAAGAUUUGUGGGAUCUCUAGGUUCUGGGAACCCUUAUGUGGCGACUUUGUAGACACCAAUGUCUAUACCAUCUAGAUAAGCUUCCAUACGAAUUUUCCAAUAUGGAAAAUCGUCAUCAUCAAAAACGGGAGGAGGUCCAUCCCCACCGGACAUCGUUACUCUAGCGGUUAAGCUAAUCUAAGAGCAACAAGGCUCUGAUACCAAUUGAAAGGAUCAUGAUGCCCAAGAUGGGGGGUGAAUUGGGCUUUUCUAAAAUUCAACAAUAAUUAAACCCUAAGCAAAAGCCCAACUUCACCCCAACAACUAGCAAUAAGAUAAUACUACUAGAAAUACAACAAUGCUAAGGCAAUACUUCAACUACUUGCUAAACAAAUGCAUAAGGUAAAAUACUUGAAUUAAGUGUGAAAUGUAAAGCAAUGUUUAGAAGACUCCUCCAAUUUUUCCCGAGGUAUCGAAGAGUCGGCACUCUCCCCUAGUCCUCGUUGGAGCACCCGCGCAAGGGUAUCACUCCCCCUUGGUCCUCGCAAGAACCAAGUGCUCACUAUGGGAUGAUUCUUUGCCACUCCAGCAUGGUGGAUCCCUCAUGACCGCUUACAAACUUGAGUCGGGUCACCAACAAGAUCUCCAAGGUGAUCAUCGAGCUCCCAACACCACUAAGCCGUCUAGGUGAUGCCGAUCACCAAGAGUAACAAGUCGUAGACUUUCACUUGACCAAGAGAAGCCUAAUGCAUGCAGUGUGUGCUCUAGGUGACUCUCGCUAGCACUAAUGAGGUCCAAAUACGGGAUUAAAAUUUUUCUAAUCACCUCACUAAGCUUUGUGGUGCUUGCAAUGCUUUACCAAUGUGUAGGAGUAAAUGUGCGCAACAAGACAAUCAAUAUGGUGGGUGGAGGGGGUAUAAAUAGCCCUCACCCACCAACUAGCCGUUAGCAGAACCUGGCUACGCAUGGGCGCACCGGACAGUCCGGUGCGCCAACGGUCAUCUCCAACGGCUAGUUCUGACAGCUAGCCGUUGGGCAGAUGGCACACCGGACAGUGAACAGUUACUAUCAGGUGCACACCGGACUGUCCGGUGUGCCGGCUAAAAUUCAAUUUUCCAACUCCGCGCUCUCGGGUUUCUGGAGGGGGAAGGGUCUUCCUCGGGCCAACCUGCCCCCACUGUCAGAGGGCGCACCGGACGGUCCGGUGCCCUUAGGCCAGAAACCCUAAGUUCUAUUUUCUUCUGUUUUUCAGAUCGGUUUUCGUUCUAACUCAUGACUAUGUUCUAGAGUGACACCUAGCACUAUAUGUGAGUGUGAAUAUGCACCAACACUACACUAGAACUCUCUUGGUCAAACUACUCAUCGACAACCUCUCUUUAUAGUACGACUAAAACAAAAUAAAAGACCUAACUCUAUACCGAGUGUCCGCAACUCCUUGACACUCGGAAUACGAAGACCUUCAUCUUUUGUUUCGUCGUUUUAGCUGUCACUUCAAGUUCUUAUCUUAGGGAUUGUUUUCACCGUUGUAGUACAUCUUCCUGUAAUGCGACCUAACUUACCAUUUGUCUCAGCAAAACACACGUUAGUCACAUAUAAUAUUACAUUGUCAUUAAUCACUAAAACCAACUAGGGGCCUAGAUGCUUUCAUGGUGGUAUACGGUGACUCCCUAGUCGUCAUCAGCUAGGUCAACAAAAACUGGGAUUGCUCCAAUGAUUCAAUGGGCAGCUACUGCGCCACGGUUAGGAAAAUUGAAGAUAAAUUCGAAGGACUAGAAUUCCACCACAUAGAGAGGGAUCACAAUGUAGCAGCAGAUACAAUGUCAAAGCUGGGGUCGAGCCGGGUGCAAGUUUCACCCGACAUCUUUCUCCAGGAGAUACAACAGCCAAGCACCACACCAGGACCAGCGGAGGAAUGCAAGGCAGUGGAUUAGGCAGAGCCAGACCCAAAGGACCGGAGGAAACCAAUUAUCAAAUACAUCAAAAAUGAGGAGGAACCAGACGACAAGGCCGCUGUCGAGCGCAUUGCAAGGCAGUCGACUCAUUAUGCUAUCAUAGGAGGAUUGCUAUAUAGGAGAGGGGCAUCCCGAGUCCUUAGGAAAUGCAUUCAUUUAGAUAUGGGAAAGCGUCUAUAGGAAGAAAUCCAUGCAGAACAAUGUGGAAUACAUGCAACAUCAAGAACUUUAGUGGGGAAGGCUUUCAGAGCAGGCUUCUAUUGGCCAACAACAAAGAAAGAUGCAGCUGAUCUAGUCCAAAGAUGCGAAACAUGCUAGUUCUUAUCUAAGCAGCAACACCUACCAGCUCGGCAGUUGCAAACUAUUUCGAUAACCUGACCCUCUGUGUGUUGCAGGUUGGACAUGAUUGGACCUUUCAAGAAGGGUACACCCACGUACUGGUCACCAUCGACAAAUUUACAAAGUGGAUAUAGUACAAGCCGAUUACAAGUCUGACCUCAGCCAAGACAGCAUCUAGAAAAUCAUAUUCAGGUUCGAGAUAUCCAACAGUAUCAUCACAGACCUAUGAUUUAACUUCACCAGCGCAGAGUUCUUCGAUUUUUGUGAGCAGAGAUGCAUUCAAGUCAAAUAUACGUCGGUAGCACACCCAGAGCUAAUGGACAAGUCUUAUUGUAUAUAUGUGUAUAUUGCUUUUUUAUUAUGGCCUGCGAGUUAAACGAGUCAGUUUAAUGUUGCAAAUGAGACAAGCUGAGCUAAUUCUCUUGCUCGAUUCCGAGCCAAUCAUAGCUGGCUUCUCUCCCAUCCUAGUAUCACACAUCUUAUUUAAAUUUCACUUUUUAAAUAUUGUUAUCUAUAUUGUCUAGUGCAAAAUAGAAUUUUUUUUUACAUGGCUAUACACGCUUUUAAGCCAGUCCAGAGGCCUCACCGAGGCGAGGUCCGCUGCCGUUUCUUUUAAGAAAACCAAUCUAUUAGUAUAAACCGUGCAAGCAAGAUGGAUAUUCUUGUGUGUUGUUUUGUACAUAUUCUAGUGUAUUGUUUUGUACAUAACAUGUUCCCUUCUUCCAGUAGAACUCGUGAGGUAUCGGAGUGGAGCUGGAAAAGGUGAGAGCCUGUUGGGAGCAAACAUUUCAACGGGGGAGUCGAAUGAAAUGGUGCUGAAGAUGAGUUGGUAGAUGCAUGAAUACAUACACUUCCCUUCCAGAUUGGUAAGAGUUUAUCCUAAAUAAAUUGAACUUCUCUAACUUUAAUCAAACUUAUAGAAAAUUAAAUAUUGAAUUUUUAAAUAUACGCAUAACCGAGACAAUUUUAUUACAAAAGUUAUUAAACUAAUUUAAUGAUGUAAUUGAUUUUUUAAAAUUUUAUUGAAGUCAGCAAAAUUACACCUCAAGAAAUUGCUAAAUAAAAGUUCAAUAAUUUAAAAUGGAAUAAGUAGAAAGGACACAGUUCCGGUUGCCCACUAACGAUACUUACCGAAAUAUGGCACAUAUCAGGUGAACAGUGACCAAAACUACAAUAACAGAGUUGCUAUUGUCAUAUAGUAUUGUGUCAUCGACAACAAGGUAAAACAUAACAGAAGGCCCAAAUGUUGGGUAAACAAACACGGUUCAACAACCACACAGCAAUACAGCCCAACAUUGUCCAUGAAACUGACUAGGAGCAGCACCUCAGUUCUUGAUCUUCUUCUUGGCCCUCAGCUGCAAGGAGAAAAGCAAGAGACAGCUCGUUAACUUUGUUGGGCUUCAAUGCUUUACAAAUGGCAGGACAAACAAAGAUGCUAGCCUACAUACAUACAGGCGCGAUACUUUCCAAUGCAAUAACACUAACCUGGUUGCUGUGACCACACUUCUUCUUGCGGCAGUUGACAGCCCUAGGGUGCAGUCGUGCAUAGCAUCUGUAGAGAAAGGGUAGAACAUGAGGACAAUGACCUAAAAGAGCUUCCUGAUACCAUAACAUGGAGCGAGAGGGCCUCUAUAUGAGUGGGUUCUGUGGUAUGAGUGGCGCUCAGUAUGUCUAAAUUCAACUGAGCAAAUUUUAAUUUAGGAUUAAAAAAUUUUCGUCGUCUAUCCCACAACAAAGCACAAGUCUAAGACCUGGCCCCAAUCGUUCUCACAUAGCCUACAGUCUGUGUAUGGGUGUAGCAGGGAUUCUAUGGCUUUCUCAAAGGGAAAUUACAUCAUUUUCCCUCCCUUGAAAAAUGGAGUUACCAAACUAGCCCUAACAUGGAAAAUGGCAAGUAAAUUGGCAAAUCGGACAUGAUUAGGCCUGAAGACUCAGCUCAUAAGUUCACUUCAGGCGUCUAACUGAUUAUCACUCGUGUCAUCAUUUUCCUCAGAAAAAAGAACACUUCCACAUAAAGAACAAUAACCAAAACAGGCCCAAGUAAUAAAAUGUACUAAUACACCUAACAGGCCCCCAAAUAAUAAAAUGUACCCAUAAAACACAAUGCUGGGCCGGUGAGAAAAUGCUUGAAUAUACUAGAAACAAAUCGUGUUUCUUUGAGAGAAAAAAACAAGUGGAGUUUCUGCAUGUUUGCUUGAAGGAUCUCUGGCGGUCUCAUGUUAACAAGGCGUAAACGGUGGAAACCUAAAAAUGGAAAACUACAAUAUACCUCAGCUAGUGCAAUCGCAGAAUUAUAUAUCAAAGCUUCUACUAAUGCUGAAGUUAAAUUCUGUUUGCAAAAUUAUCCACUUCCUACUAGCAUUAGUUACCAAAAACAAUUGUGAAUGCCGUUGAUAAAAUUAGAACUUUCUUUUGGCAAGGUGGUGUUAAUAAAAAAAAAUAAGUAUUGUCUGAUCAGAUGGACCAAAAUCUGUAAGAGCUUGAAAAAGGGGAUCUUGGUAUCCAAGACAUCAAGGAUGGGCCGGUUUGCACUGUGAAACAUAGGCAAACUGACUCGCCCAUUUGGCCAGAUGACUCAGAUCUACUGGAGGUCAAAGAUAUAAACUUGCAAAGGAGGAAACUUUCCAUUAAAAUGGACAAAAGCUCUCUUCUGGAACGAUAUCUUUCUUUAUGACAAACCUCUUUAUCAGUUACAUCUUGAACUGCUUAAAGCGUGUAAACAAGAUAUAACUGUAUAAGGGUGUGUUUGUUUGGGAUUAUAAUAUGCCCAGAUUAUAUAACACAACAAAUUUUGAACCAACACUUAAUUCAAAUUUUGUUGGAUUAUAUAAUCUGGGCAGAUUAUAAUCCCAAACAAACACCCGCAAAGUGUAUAUAAUAUGAAAUCUAACCUCAGAUGAUUAAGAUUCACAAGAUGGCUGGUGCAUGAAUGGAGAUUGGGAUGAAAAAUCCUAGCAGAUGUUGCAAAUGUGCCAAUGAGGGUGACGAUGAGAUAGCAUGGAGGUUUGGCUGUUAGGGACACUUCAGUGUCAAAUCUGUUUACGAUGGUCUGAAUUCAAAUGAAACUAGUCCAUUUCAUAAGAAAAUAUUGAAAGGAAAAUUCCAGCUAGAAGAAAAAUCUUUCUCUAGCUAACACUGAAUAAUGCAACUUUGACAAUGCUAAUAUGAUUAGAAGUGGCUUGGUGAUCCUACCUGCUACUUUUGCAUUUGUAACGAAUCUGUUUCUCAUCUUUUGUUCCAGUAUAGUGUAGCUGGGCAAUUAAUGCAAAGUACAAUGGUGCUACAAAUGUACCUAGAUAUUUUGAACAAUGUUGGUUAUGGGUUCAAAAAUGGCUCCCAUCUGGAAAAAAGGUUCCAUGCUGUAGGGAUUGCUGCUAUUUGCUGGACAAUAUGAAAAACAAAUGACAAACUAAGCUUUGAAGACAAAUAUGUGACCCUGCUACUAUUUUUUACAGGGAACAUAAAAAGUGUACCUGCGACACCUUUGGUGCACAUGGUACAGAUAUUAAAUUGCGACAAUUCAUUCUGGAUCCAACACCCUCCCCAACAGUCCUCUCGCUACACUGUAUAUUUUUGCAAAAACACUCUACACCACUUCUACCCUGAUCUGUGAACAAAGGGAGGUUGUGAGAGGACGUUGGAUCUAAAAUGGAUGGUCUUGAUCUUGAUUUAAUAUAUGCACCAAAGUUCUAUGAGCACCUAAUAUGUUCCUUUUUUAUAUGCAUGCGCGUUCAUGGGAAAAGAUCCCAAGGCACUAAUGUGUAAUGAGUGAUGCAUGGGAAGGAUAAAAGGAAAGGGUGGAAUAUACCCAAAGAUUUAGGGUCUGUUUAGUUCGUGUCUAACUGUGCCACACUUUGACUAAGGUUAGUCGUUCGAAUUGAGGGCAUGUUUGGGUCCCUGCCUAACUUGCCACACUUUGCCUAACUUUUCUGCCUAAGGUUAGUUCUUCAAUUUAAACGACUAACAUUAGGCAAAGUGUGGCGUAGUUAGCCACGAACCAAACAGGCCCUGAAUAACUAACAUUAGGCAAAAAAAGUUAGUCAAAGUGUGGCAAGUUAGCUGCACUUAGUCUUGAAUAAGAAUAUAUGGAAAACAGUUAUCCAUGUGGCUGAACCUUGACAGAUGGUUUCUGUUGGGUUUCGGUAUCUGUUGGGUUUCAACUCUAGCCUACCCCGACUUGUUGUGACAAGAUGGCUCUGGUUGAAGGCGUCAAUAAAAUGCUAAAUAUUGUGGUGAGGCUCCUUAGCAAGAAGCGAACAACAGUUGCCGCAGGACAAGGAUGGAUAUAAUCAGAAGAACUGACAAAGUUCUGGGCUGAUGCUGAUUGAUGUUCUUUUAGGCCUUGUUUUGGUACACAUAUUCACCUCAAUCCACAUGGGUUGUAGUGGUUAGUUUAAAACCCACACCAAACCAAUCCAACCCACAUGGAUCGAAGUGGAUACAUGCACAUUUAAAAGCCCUCAGUUGUUUUGCGAUCUGGUGGUUGUCUUGCAAGUUCUAGCAGUUGUACUGUUUUUGGAAAGACUUAUGAUGGUUUAGGGUCUGUUUGGUUGGGCUGUGGCUGUGAAAAAAGUUGUUGUGGGCUGUGAGCUGUGAAAAAAGCUGCUGUAGGUUGUGAGCUGUUAAAAAGCUAAAAACCGUUUGGUGGAAACCACUAAAAGUCGUUAAAAAUUCUUCGAUAUAUGUUUUCACAGUUCCAUCCGAAAAGCCACUAAAAGCAGGUCCAGGGGUGCUUUCAGAUUUGCACUACGAGAAAGCCGGCUUUUAGAAAAAGCUGCUUUCUGGAUCCAGCCCUUUGGUUAGCUUUUGGCUUUUAGGGGGGCAAAAGCCAAAGCCAAAAGUCAAACCAAACACACUCUUAGACCUUCUGUUACGUUACUACUCUCUCUUGUGAUUCUUAGGAUUCAGGCGUCUUGUGGUGGUAAGGAUAGCUAGCUGGUCUCUGACGUUAAUUUCGUAAUUCAAAUGUGGAAUCCUCUCAGUUCGAAAAAAAUAUCUUUCCUACAUUAGUUCCUGCAGAAGUAAAUGCACGUGUGGUUAUCAAUUCCACAUUCGAUGCAAAGUUACCACAAAUAAUCCUCGUCGCUAUAAUUCGAGAUGACGUUUUCGAACAAUAAUAUUAGGGAAAUUUGGAUCCAUAUCAUUAAAAGAUCACCACUUUGGAUCCAUACCAUUACUAUCUCACUUACAUGUGGGUCCACAUGAGUCAAUGACAUGUGGGGUCCAUGGUAUAUAUCUAAAGUUUGGAUCUUUUAAUGGUAUAGAUCCAAUUGUUCCAUAAUAUUAGCAAACUUUCCAUUCGGGGUGACAGAAGUGUUAAAAAGGUGAAGGCGUAGGUGGUGACUUACUUGCGGCAGAUCAUCUUGUCCUGGUUGUACUUGCGAGCGAGCGCCUGCAGCGAGGGCUCAAUGAUGCCACCGCGGAGCCUAAGCACGAGGUGAAGCGUAGACUCCUUUUGGAUGUUAUAGUCCGCAAGGGUGCGGCCAUCCUCCAGCUGCUUCCCGGCAAAGAUCAGCCGCUGCUGGUCCGGCGGGAUCCCUAUGGAAUGGAACAAACACAGCCUCUUAGCGCCUGCGCUACAUGCUAGUAAUACUAUUGCUACCAAAAGAUGGGCUGGCGCGCUCGCGUACCUUCCUUGUCCUGGAUCUUGGCCUUGACAUUGUCGAUGGUGUCGCUGCUCUCGACCUCGAGGGUGAUGGUCUUCCCUGUCAGCGUCUUCACGAAGAUCUGCAUCUUGUCGGACCUGGGCUUUCUCCGGGCUGCUGUGAUUGCUGCGGCGGCGGCUUCUCCCUCUCCGAGGAAUAGGACGGCGGCGGCGUGGCGUGCGGUGUUUUUAUACGUGGUUGCGGCAGCGGUUUUAGGGUUUCGUUGAGUGAUAUGGGCCGUUCAAAAUCGGGCAGUGCGUUUUGCUU